This 440-nucleotide ribosomal RNA is filed under the name uncultured bacterium. Its description in RNAcentral is "partial 16S ribosomal RNA". It matches the Rfam family "Bacterial small subunit ribosomal RNA", at positions 339 to 795 of the family's 1533-position model. The record is from RNAcentral.
CUACGGGGCGCAGCAGUGGGGGAUAUUGCACAAUGGAGGAAACUCUGAUGCAGCAACGCCGCGUGAGGGAAGAAGGUCUUCGGAUUGUAAACCUAAGUAGUCAGGGACGAUAAUGACGGUACCUGAAGAGUAAGCUCCGGCUAACUACGUGGCCAGCAGCCGCGGUAAUACGUAGGGAGCGAGCGUUAUCCGGAUUUACUGGGUGUAAAGGGUGCGUAGGUGGGUUUGCAAGUCAGGCGUGAAAUACCGAGGCUCAACUUCGGGGCUGCGCUUGAAACUGUAAAUCUUGAGUGAAGUAGAGGCAAGCGGAAUUCCUAGUGUAGCGGUGAAAUGCGUAGAUAUUAGGAGGAACACCAGUGGCGAAAGCGGCUUGCUGGGCUUUUACUGACGCUGAGGCACGAAAGCAUGGGGAGCAAACAGGAUUAGAUACCCGUGUAGUC